AUGCUCGCUUUGGCAGCACAAGGUCUAAAAUUGGAAGGAUACAGAAUAGAUUAGCAUGGCCCCUAUGCAAGGACGACAUACAAAUUCAUGAAGCAUUCAAAAGAGAA
Jaculus jaculus (lesser Egyptian jerboa) is the source of this 107-nucleotide small nuclear RNA. The record is from Ensembl. NCBI's taxonomy places the organism in Eukaryota, Metazoa, Chordata, Mammalia, Rodentia, Dipodidae.